RNAcentral lists this ribosomal RNA (677 nucleotides) under uncultured bacterium. Its description in RNAcentral is "bacterial SSU rRNA". It matches the Rfam family "Bacterial small subunit ribosomal RNA", at positions 111 to 806 of the family's 1533-position model. The record is from RNAcentral.
GAACACGUGAGAAACCUGCCUCGGAUUUUGGGAUAACAAAUGGAAACGUUUGCUAAUACCAAAUAACGUCGGAGAGUCACAUGACUUUCUGACGAAAGGAAUUCCGAUUCGAGAGGGUCUCGCGGCCUAUCAGCUUGUUGGCGGGGUAAUGGCCCACCAAGGCAACGACGGGUAGCUGGUCUGAGAGGAUGGUCAGCCACACUGGGACUGAGACACGGCCCAGACUCCUACGGGAGGCAGCAGUGGGGAAUCUUGCGCAAUGGGCGAAAGCCUGACGCAGCAACGCCGCGUGCGGGAAGAAGGCUUUCGGGCUGUAAACCGCUUUCAGCAGGAACGAAAAUGACGGUACCUGCAGAAGAAGGAGCGGCCAACUAUGUGCCAGCAGCCGCGGUGAUACAUAGGCUUCAAGCGUUGUCCGGAUUUAUUGGGCGUAAAGAGUUCGUAGGCGGUCGAGUAAGUCGGGUGUGAAAAUUCUGGGCUCAACCCAGAGACGCCACCCGAUACUGCUUAACUCGAGUUCGAUAGGGGAGUGGGGAAUUCCUAGUGUAGCGGUGAAAUGCGCAGAUAUUAGGAGGAACACCGGUGGCGAAGGCGCCACUCUGGAUCGACACUGACGCUGAGGAACGAAAGCAUGGGUAGCAAACAGGAUUAGAUACCCUGGUAGUCCAUGCGGUAAA